Molecule: long non-coding RNA, 1053 nt
Organism: Oncorhynchus keta (chum salmon)
Lineage: Eukaryota; Metazoa; Chordata; Actinopteri; Salmoniformes; Salmonidae
Exons: 5
Source: RefSeq, a predicted model, not a curated record
CACCGUACCAGGGAUACAACAGGUGAGGCCGUCUGAAUCCUACCAGAAACACCGUACCAGGGAUACAACAGGUGAGGCCGUCUGAAUCCUACCAGAAACACCGUACCAGGGAUACAACAGGUGAGGCCGUCUGAAUCCUACCAGAAACACCGUACCAGGGAUACAACAGGUGAGGCCGUCUGAAUCCUACCAGAAACACCGUACCAGGGAUACAACAGGUGAGGCCGUCUGAAUCCUACCAGAAACACCGUACCAGGGAUACAACAGGUGAGGCCGUCUGAAUCCUACCAGAAACACCGUACCAGGGAUACAACAGGUGAGGCCGUCUGAAUCCUACCAGAAACACCGUACCAGGGAUACAACAGGUGAGGCCGUCUGAAUCCUACCAGAAACACCGUACCAGGGAUACAACAGGUGAGGCCGUCUGAAUCCUACCAGAAACACCGUACCAGGGAUACAACAGGUGAGGCCGUCUGAAUCCUACCAGAAACACCGUACCAGGGUUACAACAGGUGAGGCCGUCUGAAUCCUACCAGAAACACCGUACCAGGAAUACAACAGGUGAGUUUUGUAUUUGUAUUUAUUAUGGAUCCUUAUUAGUUCCUGCCAAAGCAGCAGCUACCCUUCGUGGGGUCUGGCAGAAUUAAGGCGUUUAUACAAUUUUAAAAACAUUACAAUACAUUCAUUACAUAAUGCACAACACACUAAGUGUGUGGCCCACAGGCCCAAAAAUCUGAUUAUAUUGCUUGCAUCAGUUGCCUGAUGUGGAAUAUAGUCAUGGAUCUAUGUAGGACUGUGCACCUCCCAUAGUCUGUUCUGGACUUGGGGAUCGUGAAGAGGCCUCUGGUGGCAUGUCUUGUGGGGUAUGUACUGUAUGGGUGUCAGAGCUGUGUGCUAGUAGUUUAAACAGACAGCUUGGUGUAUUUAUCUUGUAAACACUUCUUACGAAAACAAGUAGUGAUGAAAUCAAUCUCUCCUUCACUUUGAGCCAGGAGAGAUUGACAUGCAUGUCAUUAAUGUUAGCUCUCUGUGUAUAUUUAAGGGCCAGCUGUG